AUGGUUCCCAGGGCAGGUGUGGGCGCGCAGAGCCGCUACGGGGAAGCGUGAGCGGAGUCCGCGGGACUCUGGGUCCGGCUUCGGGGCCCACGAACCCGCAGAGGCACCAUGGGCCGGAUCACGGAAGACCUGAUUCGACGGAAUGCCGAGCACAACGAGUGUGUGAUAUUUUCCCUGGAGGAGCUCUCCUUGCACCAGCAAGAAAUAGAGAGGCUGGAGCACAUCGACAAAUGGUGCCGCGAUUUAAAGAUCCUCUACCUUCAAAACAAUCUCAUCGGGAAGAUCGAAAAUGUCAGCAAACUCAAGAAACUCGAAUAUUUGAAUUUAGCUUUAAACAACAUUGAAAAAAUUGAAAAUCUGGAAGGAUGUGAGGGGCUGACAAAACUUGACCUGACAGUCAAUUUCAUCGGGGAGCUGAGCAGCGUGGAGACCCUCCGGGGCAACAUCCACCUGCGGGAGCUCUUUCUCGUGGGGAACCCGUGUGCCGACUUCGACGGCUACCGGCAGUUCGUGGUGGCGACUCUGCGGCAGUUGAAGUGGCUGGAUGGGAAAGAAAUAGAACGUUCCGAAAGGAUCCAGGCAUUGCAGGACUUCCCUGAAGUUGAGCGACAAGUCAGAGAGCAGGAGAAAGCCUACUGCCUCAGACGAGCCCGAGACAAGAGCGAGGCCCAGAGGAAACUUCGAGAAGAGCAGGAGCGCGGGGAGAAGGAAGGCCACCCAGGCUCGGACGGACGCUGGGACGCAAACGUCGCUGCGGAUCCCCCACCUUCUGUGGGGAGCAGAGACCACCCCCAGGCACCGGAAGUACAGGAAGGGGAACCCAACAAGAAGAAAGUAGACGACGUGGAAGAUGACCUGGAGUUCUGGAAUAAGCCCUGUUUGUUUACUCCUGAGUCUAGAUUGGAAACCCUUAGACAUAUGGAAAAACAACGAAAAGACAAAGAAAAAUUAAGCGAAAAGAAGAAGAAAGUGAAACCACCCAGGAUGUUGAUCACUGCAGAUGGGAGGGCCCUGAACGUGAACGAGCCCAAACUUGACUUCUCUUUGAAAGAUGAUGAGAAACGCAACCAGAUCAUCCUGGACCUGGCUGUGUACAGGUACAUGGAUACCUCUCUGAUCAAUGUUGACGUGCAGCCAACUUACGUGCGAGUAACGGUCAAGGGAAAGCCAUUUCAGCUCGUCCUUCCGGCAGAGGUCAAACCUGACAGCAGCUCUGCUAGAAGGUCUCAGACGACAGGGCACCUGGUCGUCUGCAUGCCCAAGGUGGGAGAAGUGAUCACAGGGGGCCCGCGAGCGCCCUUGUCUGUGCGGAGUACCUUGGACAGCAGCAGGGAGCACACAGGCGAAAGAAGCAGACAAACUGAGAAACUCGAGGUGGAUCCCAGCAAGCACUCGUUCCCCGACGUGGCUAACAUAGUCGGAGGGAAAACACCCGCACCCAGAAGAGUCCGACCCGAACCCAAAGUCAUGCCACAUGAGGAAGAUCCAGGUUUUGAAGAUGACCCGGAAGUGCCCCCGCUGAUCUGACACGUCAGGCUGCAGUGACUGGGACCCCCUCCCAGGACCCAGCUUUGCUCAGCGCGGAGAGUGUAUGCGUCUCGCUUGUGGGACACACACAGAGCUAUUUACCAACAUCACCACCCCAGUGUCGUAGCUCCCACUUGCUGCAGUAAUAUUUUUAACCCACUUUAAAAUGAACAGUGUACCUUAAAUGUGCUAUAACCCACUAUUUGUCUAGAAUAAAGUGUUUGCUAGUGGAAAUGAAUGUUCAGUAAAUCAUAGAACUAACCUAAUGCAAAUAUUCCUUAAACAACCAGAACACAUGGUGUUAUGGACCGAAUGUGUUCCCCACCCCCCAGUUCCCAUGUUGAAACCCUAAUCCCACUGAGGUCGUGUUUGGAGGUGGUUAGGUCAGAUGAGGUCAUGAGGAUGGGCCCCCUGGUGGGAUUAGUGUCCUUAGAAAAGAGGAACCCCAGCUCGAUUUCUCUCUCCCCCCUCUUCUCUCUCUUCACCUCGUGAGGAUGCUGAGAAGACAGCUGUCUGCACAUCAGGAAGGACUUCACAGGAACCGCACCAGCCGCACCUUGAACUUAGACGUCCAGCCUCCAGAACCCCAACAAGGGGCGUUCUAGGCAGACGGGCCCUGGUGUGAGCAUGUUUCUGGGACACUCAGCGGCGAGUCUCUCUGACCUCGUUGCCAGCGAAGGACAUUCACUUGCAGAGGUUACUACGUCUGACAUCCAAGACCAGCUGACGAGCCAGCACUUGAACCCAAAUCGGAAACCACCCUUCCGAGCAGAAUUCCUCUCCCGCUGAAGAAGGUUUUAGAUGUAAAAGAAAAUCCUCUGUCUGAGCCAGAUCCAGAGCAACCGCCUCCCACUCACUUGAAAAAAAAAAAAGGUGAAAUCCCACUUUGGAGCCUCUCGCUGGCUUCGAGCGCAGUCACGCGUCACAGCUCGCCCAGCGAAGUGUUUCUGGCAGGGACACCGGGGGACGGGUCCUCCUCCGGCCCGGGAACCCGCGUGCCUGUGCUUUUCCCACUGGCAGGACUGGGACCUGAGAGCCGGCGAAGACACCUGUGCAGGGAACCCGGGGAUGACACAGAAGCUCCAUCCGCCUCUCCCACCGAGUCCCUCCCACGGGCUGGGGAAUGGAUGGAUGGUCCCCAGGCCCGCAGCCAAGGGAAAGCGGGGCCGAGAGCCUGGCUCAGGCAGACGGGAGCCUCCAGAGAGGAGGAGAGGCCGGUCCCGCGGGCCUCUGCUGCCGCCACGCUGGCUGGAGAAAGAGCAGGAGACAGGCUCCUGGGGAAGGAGACGCAAGUCCCUAUGCGCCAUCCAUGGAGAGAGUAUGAAACGAUGCCUCCCCUGCACCCUUAGGAAGAGCAUGGAGUGUGACGUGGAAGAGAGGCGAGGAGUGAGCAUUACUCGGUGCUUCCUGGGUGCCGUCAGUGGUAAAGGUGCUGCAGCCGGGCCGUGUGCCAACACCAGCGCUGUCCCGCAGCCUCCCCUCCAGGACCUUCAUCGCCUCUGUCUCUUUGGACAGGGCAAGCUAUUUCCUGCC
Molecule: RNA transcript, 3060 nt
Organism: Myotis brandtii (Brandt's bat)
Lineage: Eukaryota; Metazoa; Chordata; Mammalia; Chiroptera; Vespertilionidae
Gene: DNAAF11
Gene name: leucine rich repeat containing 6
Exons: 13
Source: RefSeq, a predicted model, not a curated record